RNAcentral lists this unclassified non-coding RNA (413 nucleotides) under Hevea brasiliensis (rubber tree). Lineage: Eukaryota; Viridiplantae; Streptophyta; Magnoliopsida; Malpighiales; Euphorbiaceae. The record is from RNAcentral.
AAUUAAUGGCAUACUCUCCUGAAGCCAUGCUGCCCUUACUGCCCUAUAUGUAGCAACCUGCCCCAUAUAAUUUAUGUAUCUAAUACAGACAUGCUCACAUCUGUGAUCAUAUAGUUUUGAAUGUAUAUUGUUUUUUCUUAAAAUUUUUGGGUAAUGCAAUUCACCAAUAGUUGAGAGGGCAAAGGGUGGGUAGAGGGAUUCUUGAGGUGAGGCAAGGGUAGAUUUUACCCCUAGCCACUCCAUUUUCAUUUGUAAGCAUCGUGUCAUGAGUCAACUAUUUGUAAUGAUGGUAUAGAAUUAAAGCCAAUUUCCAACUGAAGCCACUUGAUCAUAUGAGGCACAUGAAAUGCUUCAUCUAGUCAUUUUCCAUGCAAUGUCUCUUACAAAAUUACAACUAUACAUGUGAAGAAAAU